GACGAACGCUGGCGGCGUGCUUAACACAUGCAAGUCGAACGGAAAGGCCCUGCUUUUGUGGGGUGCUCGAGUGGCGAACGGGUGAGUAACACGUGGGUAACCUGCCCUUGACUUUGGGAUAACUUCAGGAAACUGGGGCUAAUACCGGAUAGGAGCUCCUGCUGCAUGGUGGGGGUUGGAAAGUUUCGGCGGUUGGGGAUGGACUCGCGGCUUAUCAGCUUGUUGGUGGGGUAGUGGCUUACCAAGGCAUUGACGGGUAUCCGGCCUGUGAGGGUGACCGGGCACAUUGGGACUGCGGUACGGCCCAGACUCCAACGGGAGGCAGCAGGGGGGAAUAUUGCACAAUGGGCGGAAGCCUGAUGCAGCAACGCCGCGUGCGGGAUGACGGCCUUCGGGUUGUAAACCGCUUUCGCCUGUGACGAAGCGUGAGUGACGGUAAUGGGUAAAGAAGCACCGGCUAACUACGUG
RNAcentral lists this ribosomal RNA (468 nucleotides) under uncultured bacterium. RNAcentral describes it as "partial 16S ribosomal RNA". It matches the Rfam family "Bacterial small subunit ribosomal RNA", at positions 28 to 507 of the family's 1533-position model. The record is from RNAcentral.